RNAcentral lists this unclassified non-coding RNA (412 nucleotides) under uncultured Glomeromycotina. RNAcentral's name for it is "sequence contains 28S rRNA gene". The record is from RNAcentral. Lineage: Eukaryota; Fungi; Glomeromycota.
AAAGUCAAAUAGCACGUGAAAUUGUUGAAAGGGAAACGAUUGAAGUCAGUCGUACCGAUGGGCAUUCAGCCUCAUGAGCGCGAUUACGUCGGGUGUUGGGGAGCUUAACCGCCCUCGCGCCUUGUGUAUUUGUGCUCUACGGGUGUACUUGUCCGUAUGGUAGGUUAACAUCAAUUUUGGUCGUCAUAAAAUGACGGGAGGAAUGUAGCUUCGAUCUCGUGUUGAAGUGUUAUAGCCUCUUGUAGAUGUGAUGACCGGGAUUGAGGAUUGCAACGAACCCUUCGGGGCCACCUGUCUGGCCUCUGGUGGUCUCUCUGGUGCCGAAAGCUUGCUUAUGGUCAUCAGAGUUGGUUGCCAAAAGGUUAGAACGGGUUGAUUUCGUUAAGGAUGUUGACGUAAUGGCUUCAAACGA